CUGACAGCCCUGGAAAUGAGCCAGUCCUUUGUCAGGAUUUAUAAAAGAACAAGCACAUUGUGGCAGGGCAAGCUUCAUGCUAUUGCUCCCACUUGUGCCUCAUGCCUCGUUCUGGAUUACCACCUCAAAGGGUGACUGGGUAGUUCAGCCUCCAUGGCCUGUUCAGUCCUUCACCUCU
RNAcentral lists this small RNA (178 nucleotides) under Chrysemys picta bellii (western painted turtle). RNAcentral describes it as "TUC338 (ENSCPBG00000005732.1)". Lineage: Eukaryota; Metazoa; Chordata; Testudines; Emydidae. The record is from RNAcentral.